UUACGGUUGAGUGGUUUAACUGCAACUUGAACAAGACCUAUAUGAAUAAAAUUAUAACCUUUUUUCUGUGUUUUUUAAUAACUUCAGGAGAUAAAAGACUACAAUUUUCAUAUUCUUUGUUAAUAGCAUAAACCUUUUCAACUGUUUUAACAUUAUAAUCAGUUUUGAAAUUAUCUAAAAAGAUUGACUGAUAAAUUUCUCUUGGAGAUACCCUAGGUAUAUUCCAAUUAUGUAACACUUGACUUAUGUUUUCAUAAGUAUGUUCUUCUUGGUUUACGAUGUCAGGGACAAGAGGCAAGGCUGACCUGUUACUAACUGAAGAGCUAGAUCUGAAUAAUCUACUCAUCUUGACUGUUUUCAAAAUAAAAUCUGACUCAAGGUUCGUUCAUGUAUACCCCCAUUUACCCUAAGUAGACUCAUACCUAUGUUCUAUAACCCGACACUGCUCACACCCUGGAGACUUACAAAGGUUAGACACGAACUAGGUGGACUACAGGUAAGUAAGGUGACUUCAGAACUCUGAGGAAGAAGAUGAUUUUGAAAAAGUAAAGAGAAGUUUGAUUAAAAAGAUCUUACUAAACAGUUACUAACAACUAGGACUGAGCAAAAAACGGAUAUAACCGAAUUACAGAACCGAACCGAAAUAAUUUAACCGUUUUUUUUGCUAAUUCGGUUAAUUUUAACAUUUCGGUUAUAACCGAAAUUAUUUACGAUUUUCGGUUAGUUUGUACGGGUAUCGUUUUUGGAUUAUUCGGAUAAACCGAAUAACCGAAUAAAGUUUACAAAAUUGAGAUAAUAAUAUAACCGAACAAAUUGAACAGUCACCUUCAUAUCAUAAAGUUGCUAUGGUCUACUAUUUAUGGUCUACUACUCUACUUUAUAUUAUAAAAUUGCUUUUAGUAAAGUAACCGACUAGAUCUAGACUUCUAGUGCCCCAUACUCUCUCAGAUCUCCAAAUUUAACAGUCAUCUUCAAAAUCAAAUGCUCCACAGCUUUUAGUAAAGUACCGAUCUGCAGGAAAAAGUCUUCGCACCAUGUUGGACGGACUCAAUGCCCCGCACCCAUUUUUUCUCUUCCCUCACCUUCACUCUCAUGCUCCACAGCUGCUUCACUCUCGCCGGUCCGGUGGCCGUGACUCGGUUCUGCCAUCAUCUGAUCUAAAAAAUUCGAUCUGUUUUCAACAUUAACUGCAAUAAGAUAGAAAAUUUGUUUCAAUCUCACUGCAUGUGACUCUUCAAUUUUGGUAUGGAUAACAUUAGAGUCGAUUUAUGCAUUUUGUGGAAUCAUAAUUUUGGGUCACUUUUUUUUCAAUCUCACUGCAUUUUAUUUUUGCUUCAAAAUUCUGGUAAAUUUCACUACUGGUAAAUUUUGUUUCAAUUUUGGAAUCGGUCAAUUUUGUUUCAAUCUCGCUGCAUGUUAUUUUUGUCCAACAUUAAUUGCAGUGUUCGAUUAUUAACCGAAAUACCGAAUUUAUAAUUCGAUAAUUCGGUAUUCGGUUAUUCGGUUAUUACCAAAAUUCGGUUAUUAGUUCGGAUAUUAAAAAUAGGAAUAUUUCGGUUUUCGGUUAUAACCGAAUAGUCUAUUAGGUUCGGUUAUAACCGAAUGAUUAGUCCUACUAACAACAAACAACUUGGCUCUGAUACCAAAUGAUUAAGGAAGAUUGGAAUUUCCUCAUAUUUUGGAUGAUAAUUACUAUAUUGAUUGAAAUGAUCAAGUUGUUCCAAGAGAGCCUUAGGAAGGAUCUCAUGGCACAACCCAAUUCUUGUCCACUACAGGGUGAACCAUUUAGGGAUUUGACUUUUAAACUUGUGGUCGAAUUGCACAAACCACGAAUGACUAAAAUCUUCAUUUUUGGUGAAGAAAAAUCUUAUACCAGGCUUCCAUAUAAUCAUAAUAGCAGUAAGAACUGGAAUGAUUAGAAAGAGACCUGAGAUCAGAAGGAUUAAGGAAGAUUGGAAUUUCCUCAUGCGCUCUCUUAUGUUCUUCUCUUCAUCAUCUCAUUCCGUCUCCUUCCG
RNAcentral lists this long non-coding RNA (2015 nucleotides) under Panax ginseng (ginseng). Its description in RNAcentral is "long non-coding RNA (PGIN_LNC007384)". The record is from RNAcentral. Lineage: Eukaryota; Viridiplantae; Streptophyta; Magnoliopsida; Apiales; Araliaceae.